This 498-nucleotide ribosomal RNA is filed under the name uncultured bacterium. Its description in RNAcentral is "partial 16S ribosomal RNA". It matches the Rfam family "Bacterial small subunit ribosomal RNA", at positions 29 to 523 of the family's 1533-position model. The record is from RNAcentral.
AGUGAACGCUGGCGGUAGGCCUAACACAUGCAAGUCGAACGGUAACAGGUCUUCGGAUGCUGACGAGUGGCGAACGGGUGAGUAAUACAUCGGAACGUGCCUAGUAGUGGGGGAUAACUACUCGAAAGAGUGGCUAAUACCGCAUGAGAUCUACGGAUGAAAGCAGGGGAUCGCAAGACCUUGUGCUACUAGAGCGGCCGAUGGCAGAUUAGGUAGUUGGUGGGAUAAAAGCUUACCAAGCCGACGAUCUGUAGCUGGUCUGAGAGGACGAUCAGCCACACUGGGACUGAGACACGGCCCAGACUCCUACGGGAGGCAGCAGUGGGGAAUUUUGGACAAUGGGCGAAAGCCUGAUCCAGCAAUGCCGCGUGCAGGAUGAAGGCCUUCGGGUUGUAAACUGCUUUUGUACGGAACGAAAAGCCCCGGGUUAAUACCCCGGGGUCAUGACGGUACCGUAAGAAUAAGCACCGGCUAACUACGUGCCAGCCGCCGCAGUAA